RNAcentral lists this small RNA (28 nucleotides) under Bombyx mori (domestic silkworm). RNAcentral's name for it is "ovarian small RNA-32280". Lineage: Eukaryota; Metazoa; Arthropoda; Insecta; Lepidoptera; Bombycidae. The record is from RNAcentral.
UGAGUGCACUCGAGUGGUUGAUGCGAUC